Molecule: long non-coding RNA, 491 nt
Organism: Triticum dicoccoides
Lineage: Eukaryota; Viridiplantae; Streptophyta; Magnoliopsida; Poales; Poaceae
Exons: 3
Source: RefSeq, a predicted model, not a curated record
UUGCGGCUAACAGGUUUCUUUUCUUUUGCCACCUGGUAAGUGCUCCUGCACUCCUCCUCUUCCCCUUCCUCGCUGAACCACAGGCGUGCCCUCCCGUAGCUCGAGAGCCUCUGGUGCCCUAGCACGUCUGCACGCGAGCAGCCGUUCCACGAGCAGCAUCGACGGUGCGGGAGCUGCCUAAGCAAGCAGCGGGCGCACGCCCGGGUCCUGCAGAUCUCACCGAGUGCCACGGACGGCAUCACAUCUCGUGCCGUUGGCUGCAAUUCGCUUGUGGCUCUUUGCCGUUGCGGGGGCGGGACGGUGCUCGCGAGGUGUUCGGGGCAUUGCACGAGUCGAGCAGAGCAGAUCUGCUGCAUUGGCACGGACGCAGGGGCAUUGGUGCGAGAUAGAAGUAUCCCAGGUCGCAGUUGCCACUGGUGGCAUAUCCUGCUCCAAACCAAUUCCUAGUUGAUGCUGGAGGUGGUUGAUCGCUCUUGCAGCUUCAGAAGAAA